Molecule: long non-coding RNA, 709 nt
Filed under: Homo sapiens (human)
Lineage: Eukaryota; Metazoa; Chordata; Mammalia; Primates; Hominidae
Description: HSALNT0009719
Source: RNAcentral
CCCGGCUCCGCUGGGUACGCGACAGCGACCUCCGCGCCUGCUCUCCGCCUCGGGCUCGCGCUCGGGGCCGGGUGUGGAGCUGGAACAGAGGGCUGGCAAGGCGCGCAUGCGCACCGAGGGUGGAGCCGCUGAGCACAGAACCGGAAACUUAGAGACAAAGUUCGGAGCCCCGCCCCCGCCGCGCGCCGCUGAGUUGUCUGGCCCCGCCGACCCACGGCCCACGACCCACCGACCCACGAAUCGGCCCGGCCGUCGCGUGCACCAUGUCUGGCUCCUCCAGCGUCGCCGCUAUGAAGAAAGUGGUUCAACAGCUCCGGCUGGAGGCCGGACUCAACCGCGUAAAAGUUUCCCAGGCAGCUGCAGACUUGAAACAGUUCUGUCUGCAGAAUGCUCAACAUGACCCUCUGCUGACUGGAGUAUCUUCAAGUACAAAUCCCUUCAGACCCCAGAAAGUCUGUUCCUUUUUGUAGUAAAAUGAAUCUUUCAAAGGUUUCCCAAACCACUCCUUAUGAUCCAGUGAAUAUUCAAGAGAGCUACAUUUGAAGCCUGUACAAAAGCUUAUCCCUGUAACACAUGUGCCAUAAUAUACAAACUUCUACUUUCGUCAGUCCUUAACAUCUACCUCUCUGAAUUUUCAUGAAUUUCUAUUUCACAAGGGUAAUUGUUUUAUAUACACUGGCAGCAGCAUACAAUAAAACUUAGUAUGAAA